AGCCAUAUAGCUGAUUGGAUGCAUGUUAGAGCCACGACUAGGAUUAUCGACUUGUCCAGAGAAAAAUACAAAGUCUUUAAAUAGAAGCAAAACUAAAGGAAUAAGGGUCGAGUACCGAUAAAUCAAACAAACCAAGCCCAACGAUUGCUCAAAUGCACCAUUUUAUCUUUUUUAGCAUGUAUUUUUACAGUUUUCAAUGUUUUCCAUUAGAAUCGUUCUGAGUUCGUGGGCAAUUCCUACUUCAAUCGUUCAUUUCAUAUAUCAAGAGUGAGGAGAUAUGAGAUAAUGAGAGCACAUAUCGACAUGAUCGAUUCAAAUGAUAGUAGAUAAAUCAACAGCAGUACGGUACCGUUUCCGAUUUGGUCCCUUCCGACAGUCGUCGGUCAGCAGGCGGUAUUGUCCAUUUAGUUUGGUUACUGAACCGAGGCCAGCCCCACAUUAAUCAAUUAUUAUUGAAGUUUAACUUUUCAAUACAAAAAAUAAAUAAAUAAAAAUUCAACAUGUAACUUUUGGGAAAAUAUAUUUCAGUUGGGCUGUUGUAUCCUAGAGGGACAAGUCAAAAUAUAUUGAUGCAUUGGUUCGUGAGUUUUGCCAAAUAAUAAUCGGCUUGAAUCUCCUGAAAAAAAAAAAUGAAAAAAAAAAGCGUGAAAUUCAUGUCUCAAUCUGAUUGGCUACGUGCUUCUGGGAAGACAAAAUAUUUUUAUUUUCUUAAUUCUAAUUUUUCCGACCACGUGAUAGUUA
Molecule: long non-coding RNA, 741 nt
Filed under: Prunus persica (peach)
Lineage: Eukaryota; Viridiplantae; Streptophyta; Magnoliopsida; Rosales; Rosaceae
Description: long non-coding RNA (PPER_LNC007867)
Source: RNAcentral